UAAGGAAUAUUGGACAAUGGAGGGAACUCUGAUCCAGCCAUGCCGCGUGAAGGAUGAAGGCGCUCAGCGUUGUAAACUUCUUUUGGAUGGGAACAAUAACUUCUACGUGUAGGAGCUUGAGGGUACCAUCAGAAUAAGCACCGGCUAACUCCGUGCCAGCAGCCGCGGUAAUACGGAGGGUGCAAGCGUUAUCCGGAAUCACUGGGUUUAAAGGGUGCGUAGGCGGUGGCGUAAGUCAGUUGUGAAAUUCCCCGGCUUAACCGGCGGGACUGCGAUUGAUACUGCGUCACUUGAAUCAGGAUGAGGUAGGCGGAAUGUGACAUGUAGCGGUGAAAUGCUUAGAUAUGUCAUAGAACACCGAUUGCGAAGGCAGCUUGCUGGACCUGUAUUGACGCUGAGGCACGAAAGCGUGGGGAGCAAACAGG
RNAcentral lists this ribosomal RNA (425 nucleotides) under uncultured bacterium. RNAcentral's name for it is "bacterial SSU rRNA". It matches the Rfam family "Bacterial small subunit ribosomal RNA", at positions 355 to 776 of the family's 1533-position model. RNAcentral also lists the same sequence under 1 other name. The record is from RNAcentral.